AUGCCGCGUGAGUGAAGAAGGGUUUCGGCUCGUAAAACUCUGUUGUUAAAGAAGAACACCUUUGAGAGUAACUGUUCAAGGGUUGACGGUAUUUAACCAGAAAGCCACGGCUAACUACGUGCCAGCAGCCGCGGUAAUACGUAGGUGGCAAGCGUUGUCCGGAUUUAUUGGGCGUAAAGCGAGCGCAGGCGGUUUUUUAAGUCUGAUGUGAAAGCCUUCGGCUUAACCGGAGAAGUGCAUCGGAAACUGGGAGACUUGAGUGCAGAAGAGGACAGUGGAACUCCAUGUGUAGCGGUGGAAUGCGUAGAUAUAUGGAAGAACACCAGUGGCGAAGGCGGCUGUCUAGUCUGUAACUGACGCUGAGGCUCGAAAGCAUGGGUAGCGAACAGG
Molecule: ribosomal RNA, 390 nt
Filed under: Lactobacillus sp.
Lineage: Bacteria; Bacillati; Bacillota; Bacilli; Lactobacillales; Lactobacillaceae
Description: bacterial SSU rRNA
Rfam family: Bacterial small subunit ribosomal RNA
Source: RNAcentral